This 77-nucleotide transfer RNA is filed under the name Kiritimatiellia bacterium. RNAcentral's name for it is "Kiritimatiellae bacterium (gut metagenome) tRNA-Met". It matches the Rfam family "tRNA". From Rfam's summary of the family: Transfer RNA (tRNA) molecules are approximately 80 nucleotides in length. Their secondary structure includes four short double-helical elements and three loops (D, anti-codon, and T loops). The record is from RNAcentral. Lineage: Bacteria; Pseudomonadati; Kiritimatiellota; Kiritimatiellia.
UGCGGAGUGGAGCAGUGGUCAGCUCGCCAGCCCCAUAAGCUGGAGGUCGUAGGUUCGAGUCCUACCUCGCGCAACCA